RNAcentral lists this microRNA precursor (101 nucleotides) under Phaseolus vulgaris (common bean). RNAcentral's name for it is "pre miRNA mir-399". The record is from RNAcentral. Lineage: Eukaryota; Viridiplantae; Streptophyta; Magnoliopsida; Fabales; Fabaceae.
UUAGGAAUGAGAGGGCGAAACUCCUAUUUGGCAAGAGAAGCAGAGGACUUCAAAAUGCUUGCUUCUAGUUUGCCAAAGGAGAUUUGCCCUGCCAUUUUUUU